UACAGAGGUCUCAACCGUUGUUCGGAUUCAUUGGGCGUAAAGGGUGCGUAGGCGGUCGCGCAAGUCGGAUGUGAAAUCUCAGGGCUCAACCCUGAAACUGCAUUCGAUACUGCGUGGCUAGAGUGCUGGAGGGGAGACUGGAAUUUACGGUGUAGCAGUGAAAUGCGUAGAUAUCGUAAGGAAGACCAGUGGCGAAGGCGAGUCUCUGGACAGCAACUGACGCUGAGGCGCGAAAGCGUGGGGAGCAAACAGG
RNAcentral lists this ribosomal RNA (253 nucleotides) under uncultured bacterium. RNAcentral describes it as "partial 16S ribosomal RNA". It matches the Rfam family "Bacterial small subunit ribosomal RNA", at positions 524 to 776 of the family's 1533-position model. The record is from RNAcentral.